Molecule: small nuclear RNA, 123 nt
Filed under: Setaria italica (foxtail millet)
Lineage: Eukaryota; Viridiplantae; Streptophyta; Magnoliopsida; Poales; Poaceae
Description: U5 spliceosomal RNA
Rfam family: U5 spliceosomal RNA
About the family: U5 RNA is a component of both types of known spliceosome. The precise function of this molecule is unknown, though it is known that the 5' loop is required for splice site selection and p220 binding, and that both the 3' stem-loop and the Sm site are important for Sm protein binding and cap methylation.
Source: Rfam by way of RNAcentral
AGCUGCGCAGUGGGCACAGAGCGGACUAUUCUUUCGCCUUUUACUGAAUAAAAUACCGUGUGCCCGCUCCAAGAAGCAGCAUACGCUUAUUUAAUUUUGGAGGGUUUCUUCUCAUUGUGAAUU